AGAGUUUGAUCCUGGCUCAGGACGAACGCUGGCGGCACGCUUAACACAUGCAAGUCGAACGAGAGAAGAGGAGCUUGCUUUUCUGAUCUAGUGGCGGACGGGUGAGUAACACGUGAGCAAUCUGCCUUUCAGAGGGGGAUACCGAUUGGAAACGAUCGUUAAUACCGCAUAACAUAAUUGAACCGCAUGAUUUGAUUAUCAAAGAUUUAUCGCUGAAAGAUGAGCUCGCGUCUGAUUAGCUAGUUGGUAAGGUAACGGCUUACCAAGGCGACGAUCAGUAGCCGGACUGAGAGGUUGAUCGGCCACAUUGGGACUGAGACACGGCCCAGACUCCUACGGGAGGCAGCAGUGGGGAAUAUUGCACAAUGGAGGAAACUCUGAUGCAGCGAUGCCGCGUGAGGGAAGAAGGUUUUAGGAUUGUAAACCUCUGUCUUCAGGGACGAAAAAAGACGGUACCUGAGGAGGAAGCUCCGGCUAACUACGUGCCAGCAGCCGCGGUAAUACGUAGGGAGCGAGCGUUGUCCGGAAUUACUGGGUGUAAAGGGAGCGUAGGCGGGAUCGCAAGUCAGAUGUGAAAACUAUGGGCUUAACCCAUAAACUGCAUUUGAAACUGUGGUUCUUGAGUGAAGUAGAGGUAAGCGGAAUUCCUAGUGUAGCGGUGAAAUGCGUAGAUAUUAGGAGGAACAUCAGUGGCGAAGGCGGCUUACUGGGCUUUAACUGACGCUGAGGCUCGAAAGCGUGGGGAGCAAACAGGAUUAGAUACCCUGGUAGUCCACGCCGUAAACGAUGAUUACUAGGUGUGGGGGGACUGACCCCUUCCGUGCCGCAGCAAACGCAAUAAGUAAUCCACCUGGGGAGUACGACCGCAAGGUUGAAACUCAAAGGAAUUGACGGGGGCCCGCACAAGCAGUGGAGUAUGUGGAUUAAUUGGAAGCAACGCGAAGAACCUUACCAGGUCUUGACAUCGUAUGCAUAGCUCAGAGAUGAGUGAAAUCUCUUCGGAGACAUAUAGACAGGUGGUGCAUGGUUGUCGUCAGCUCGUGUCGUGAGAUGUUGGGUUAAGUCCCGCAACGAGCGCAACCCUUACUGUUAGUUGCUACGCAAGAGCACUCUAGCAGGACUGCCGUUGACAAAACGGAGGAAGGUGGGGAUGACGUCAAAUCAUCAUGCCCCUUAUGACCUGGGCCUCACACGUACUACAAUGGCUGUCAACAGAGGGAAGCAAAGCCGCGAGGUGGAGCGAACCCCUAAAAGCAGUCUUAGUUCGGAUUGUAGGCUGCAACCCGCCUACAUGAAGUCGGAAUUGCUAGUAAUCGCAGAUCAGCAUGCUGCGGUGAAUACGUUCCCGGGCCUUGUACACACCGCCCGUCACGCCAUGGGAGUCGGUAACACCCGAAGCCUGUAGUCUAACCGCAAGGAGGACGCAGUCGAAGGUGGGAUUGAUGACUGGGGUGAAGUCGGAACAAGGUA
Molecule: ribosomal RNA, 1470 nt
Filed under: metagenome
Description: bacterial SSU rRNA
Rfam family: Bacterial small subunit ribosomal RNA
Source: RNAcentral